UCUGUAUUCCCCUAGUACGGCGAGUGAAGCGGGAAGAGCUCAAAUUUGAAAUCUGGCAGUCUUCGAUUGUCCGAGUUGUAAUCUAUAGAGGCGUUUUCCGUGCCGGACCGUGUCCAAGUCUCCUGGAAAGGAGUAUCAAAGAGGGUGAUAAUCCCGUACUUAACACGACCACCGGUGCUCUGUGAUACGUCUUCUACGAGUCGAGUUGUUUGGGAAUGCAGCUCAAAAUGGGUGGUGAAUUCCAUCUAAAGCUAAAUAUUGGCGAGAGACCGAUAGCGAACAAGUACCGUGAGGGAAAGAUGAAAAGCACUUUGGAAAGAGAGUUAAACAGUACGUGAAAUUGUUGAAAGGGAAACGAUUGAAGUCAGUCGUGUUCUUUGGAUUCAGCCAGUUCUGCUGGUCUACUUCCUUGGAACGGGUCAACAUCAGUUUUGUCCGGUGGAUAAAGGUAGUAGGAAUGUGACUUCUCCGGAAGUGUUAUAGCCUAUUAUCACAUACACUGGGUGAGACUGAGGACUGCAGCUCGCCUUUAUGGCCGGUCUUCGGACACGUUCGAGCUUAGGAUGUUGACAUAAUGGCUUUAAACGACCCGUCUUGAAAACACGGACCA
Molecule: ribosomal RNA, 610 nt
Filed under: Trichosporon insectorum
Lineage: Eukaryota; Fungi; Basidiomycota; Tremellomycetes; Trichosporonales; Trichosporonaceae
Description: partial large subunit ribosomal RNA
Rfam family: Eukaryotic large subunit ribosomal RNA
Source: RNAcentral